Molecule: ribosomal RNA, 493 nt
Filed under: uncultured Sphingobacteriales bacterium
Lineage: Bacteria; Pseudomonadati; Bacteroidota; Sphingobacteriia; Sphingobacteriales
Description: bacterial SSU rRNA
Rfam family: Bacterial small subunit ribosomal RNA
Source: RNAcentral
CCCGCUCAGAAACUUAAAGGAAGUUGACGGGGGCCCGCACAAGCGGUGGAGCAUGUGGUUUAAUUCGAUGAUACGCGAGGAACCUUACCUGGGCUCAAAUGUAUGUUGACGUAUUCUGAAAGGGAUACUUCUUCGGACAAUAUACAAGGUGCUGCAUGGUUGUCGUCAGCUCGUGCCGUGAGGUGUCGGGUUAAGUCCCAUAACGAGCGCAACCCCUAUCAUUAGUUGCCAUCAGGUCAAGCUGGGGACUCUAAUGAAACUGCCUACGCAAGUAGUGAGGAAGGUGGGGAUGACGUCAAAUCAGCACGGCCCUUACGUCCAGGGCUACACACGUGCUACAAUGGCCGGUACAAAGGGCAGCUACCUGGUGACAGGAUGCUAAUCUCAAAAGCCGGUCUCAGUUCGGAUCGGAGUCUGCAACCCGACUCCGUGAAGCUGGAAUCGCUAGUAACCGCAGAUCAGCUACGUUGCGGUGAAUACGUUCCCGGGCCUU